Molecule: ribosomal RNA, 468 nt
Filed under: uncultured bacterium
Lineage: Bacteria
Description: partial 16S ribosomal RNA
Rfam family: Bacterial small subunit ribosomal RNA
Source: RNAcentral
GACGAACGCUGGCGGCGUGCUUAACACAUGCAAGUCGAACGGAAAGGCCCUGCUUUUGUGGGGUGCUCGAGUGGCGAACGGGUGAGUAACACGUGAGUAACCUGCCCUUGACUUUGGGAUAACUUCAGGAAACUGGGGCUAAUACCGGAUAGGAGCUCCUGCUGCAUGGUGGGGGUUGGAAAGUUUCGGCGGUUGGGGAUGGACUCGCGGCUUAUCAGCUUGUUGGUGGGGUAGUGGCUUACCAAGGCUUUGACGGGUAGCCGGCCUGAGAGGGUGACCGGCCACAUUGGGACUGAGAUACGGCCCAGACUCCUACGGGAGGCAGCAGUGGGGAAUAUUGCACAAUGGGCGGAAGCCUGAUGCAGCAACGCCGCGUGCGGGAUGACGGCCUUCGGUUUGUAAACCGCUUUCGCCUGUGACGAUGCGUGAGUGACGGUAAUGGGUAAAGAAGCACCGGCUAACUACGUG